Molecule: small nuclear RNA, 104 nt
Organism: Monodelphis domestica (gray short-tailed opossum)
Lineage: Eukaryota; Metazoa; Chordata; Mammalia; Didelphimorphia; Didelphidae
Source: Ensembl
GUGCUUGCAUCAGCAGCACAUAUGCUAAAGUUAGAAUGAAACAGAGGUUAACAUAGUCCCUAUGCAAGGGUGAAAUGCAAAAUCAUGAAGAAUUCUUUAUUUUA